RNAcentral lists this non-coding RNA (26 nucleotides) under Homo sapiens (human). Lineage: Eukaryota; Metazoa; Chordata; Mammalia; Primates; Hominidae. The record is from RNAcentral.
UGGAUCAGGAAGUAGAUGUUAGGGUC